Hippocampus comes (tiger tail seahorse) is the source of this 130-nucleotide small nucleolar RNA. NCBI's taxonomy places the organism in Eukaryota, Metazoa, Chordata, Actinopteri, Syngnathiformes, Syngnathidae. The record is from Ensembl.
GCAUGGCAGAAUUCUGUUCCAGCUCUGUGGUGGACACAGUCAGACACCAUGCAAGAGUAUUGCCUCGUUUCUUUUAACUAUGGGUGAAUUGUUUUCAGCUUCAUCCAGCAAUAUAGGAAUGAGUACACUG